This 774-nucleotide ribosomal RNA is filed under the name uncultured Neocallimastigales. RNAcentral's name for it is "partial large subunit ribosomal RNA". It matches the Rfam family "Eukaryotic large subunit ribosomal RNA", at positions 24 to 643 of the family's 3401-position model. The record is from RNAcentral. Lineage: Eukaryota; Fungi; Neocallimastigomycota; Neocallimastigomycetes; Neocallimastigales.
UAUCUCUGUAGAGUCUGCAUAUCAAUAAGCGGAGGAAAAGAAACUAACUAGGAUUCCCUUAGUAACGGCGAGUGAAGCGGGAAGAGCUCAAAUUUGAAAUCUUCAAGGUUCUACCUUGACGAAUUGUAGUUUAAAGAAGUGUUUUCUGUUAGAUGAGUAGCAAAAGUUCCUUGGAAUGGGACAUCAUAGAGGGUGAGAAUCCCGUAUUUGGUCAUUCAUUCUAGCUUUGUGAUACACUUUCAAAGAGUCGGAUUGUUUGGGAAUGCAGUCCAAAAUGGGUGGUAAAUUUCAUCUAAAGCUAAAUAUUGGCGAGAGACCGAUAGCGAACAAGUACCGUGAGGGAAAGAUGAAAAGAACUUUGAAAAGAGAGUUAAACAGUACGUGAAAUUGUCAAAAGGGAAGCGUUUGACACCAGUGUUGUUUUUCCGAAAAUCAAUAACGAAUGGCUUGAUUCUGUGUUGUAUUGACCUUAUCAGCUUUCUUCACUUUUUUCGAGUCUUUCUUAAUGCACUUUUCGGUUAACAAGUCAACAUCAAUUUCUUUUGUUGUAAAAGAGUAUUCGGAAGGUGGCUUUCUUUUCGGAGAAAGUGUUUAUAGCCCUAUACUUCUACAAUCGGAGAGAUUGAGGUCUGCAGCGUAGAUCCUUCGGGGUUAGAUACAUUUGUGCUAAGUUGUAGCUUUUCAUAGACAACUUGUUGACUAUGUUUAGUCAUGCGGCUUACUCGCUUAUGCUAUUUUACCUACGCUUAGGAUGUUGAAGAUGUAGCACAUCAU